RNAcentral lists this transfer RNA (66 nucleotides) under Colpocephalum eucarenum. Its description in RNAcentral is "tRNA-Lys". It matches the Rfam family "tRNA". Rfam says of the family: Transfer RNA (tRNA) molecules are approximately 80 nucleotides in length. Their secondary structure includes four short double-helical elements and three loops (D, anti-codon, and T loops). Further hydrogen bonds mediate the characteristic L-shaped molecular structure. tRNAs have two regions of fundamental functional importance: the anti-codon, which is responsible for specific mRNA codon recognition, and the 3' end, to which the tRNAs corresponding amino acid is attached (by aminoacyl-tRNA synthetases). tRNAs cope with the degeneracy of the genetic code in two manners: having more than one tRNA (with a specific anti-codon) for a particular amino acid; and 'wobble' base-pairing, i.e. permitting non-standard base-pairing at the 3rd anti-codon position. Lineage: Eukaryota; Metazoa; Arthropoda; Insecta; Psocodea; Menoponidae. The record is from RNAcentral.
CUUUAGAUGGCUGAGAUUUAAGCAUUGAUCUUUUAAAUCAAAAAACGGUAAUUUUACCUCUAAAGA